CCGAAAUUCACAGACAUUUGGCAAUCGACCCCAUCAAGGGGGUACGGGUUGGCCUAGACCACCCUGGAUUCCUUCUCCGGCUGCGUUCUGUGGCCAAUGUACUGAGCCCUGCCGGCCUCCUUCCUCAAGAAGCUGGAAAUCUGGUAGGAGCUGGAGAUGGUUUCACUGGGGUCCCCAGGCUCACCACCCAUGGGGCUGCAGAGGGAGUGGUGGAGAUACACAUGGAGGCCUCCUGGCUCUGGGAGUAGCUUCACACUCAUACUCGGGGAAUUGUUCUAAUGGCUCAGGCUUGAGGCACCACAUGCAGUUUUUUUUUUUAAAGUAUGGUAUUAAUUUAUACUUGUCUGUUGUUUAUCCAAUAAAUGGCGUUCCAAAUAGCAGGGCACUAGCCUGAACGGGAGAGGAGUGUGGAUUCUGUUCUAAGCAUGUUACAGCAUCUGCUUUCAUACUCAUGCAUAUGCACACAUGCAUAUAUGUAUAUCCAUGUCUACCUCAGGCGUGGGCACUUGCUGACUUAUCAGGCAUAGCCAAAGAUAAAAGGCAACACUAUGCUCCAUGGAGGAUGAAUCUCACUUGGGUAAUAAAAUGACAAAGAAAACUAGAGAACUAAUGGCCAUAAGACUCAGCCCAGCUGUGCCCCAGGAGGGAGGAGAGAUUUGGGAGUGGGGUUCUGUAGGGGGGUGGGAAGGCUCUAGAGUGGGUGCUGGGGGUUACAAGCAUUUUUGCCUUAUAGGACUUCAUUAAACUUCAUGUUUGCUUUAUGCAGCUUCCUGUACUUGUGGGACAUUUACUGUUAAAUAUAUACUUUCAUAUAUAUGUGCAGAUAUACCUCAAUAUAUAUGUAUAUAUAUGUCUGUAUGUGUGUGUUGUAUGUACACACACAUACACAGAGACAUUACAGACAUGUACUCACUCUCUUUCACCUGAGUUGGCAGAAAGUUUUGUUGCUGGGCCCUGCUGAGAUAACCGGUUUGCCCAGUGGCUUGCUGGCCUUGCCAGGCUGUGCUGAGCUGUUCUGCGAUGGCUGGCAGGCGCUGCCUGGGCUAGAACUGGUAGUAGAGCUCCAGGUUUUAAAUGGACCUAGGGGGAUCAGCCCAGGGUUCCAUGCAGGUUUAGCAGAAAGAAGUAAUGCAUGACUCUGAUUUGCGGCUGCAGGAUAAAUCCGAACUAUUUCAGGGAGAUGUCAUGGAGAGCUCAUCUCUCAGCAUCAAAGUUGCCUCUCCUGACUUUUGAAUUUUAAGUGUUCUGUGUGGAAGAAAAAUGGAGACAACAAAUUUCUAUGCAUGGAUUCAAAGAAUCCUCGUAAUAUACAGACUACAUUCUCCCCAGCUUUUUAUCUCUAUAUAUUCUUUUUGUUGAGUUUCAACCACAUAGGGUUGAAAUUCACCUUCCCACAUUACAUUUUUCAUCAAUAGUUGAAGACCUAUGUAUGUAAAUAUCAGGAACUAUCAGAACUCCCUGCAACAGGAAACCUGACCCCCAACUCCCCCGAAAUGCAUCAUGAUAAACAGUCACUUGCCAAAAUAACAAAUCAGCUUCCUGGAACAUGCUUGCUCAAAACCAGGAGAGGAGCUUAGAGACGUCAGCUUGACUUCUGCCUCGUACGCAGGAAGGGUGACCUUCAAAGAUCAAACAUCGUCCCAAAUCUCCCUUCAUCUUGUAGUACUCCUGCUUGUCGUAGCUCCUGUUACCAUCAGGUACUGGGCCAACCAUCCGUCAUGUCAGAAGAGAGUUGGGGACAAUCCCUGGAUUAUUUCACCUUUGCCCUGCUGGUAUAGACAAUGUGUGUUAUGGCUGGGUGACUUGCUGACUUUUACUCUGAGCAACAGCUUUGUCAGAGUAAACUAAAACAGAGACUUCAGAGCAUAAUAAAAUAUGACAUUUUUUCUGUAUAGAACUAAAGACACGGGGGAGAGAGAACAACUUAAUUAAAAAGACAGUGCCCUUUCAGUGUCUUUUUUUUUUUUUUUUUUUUUUUUUUUUUGAGAUGGAGUCUUGCUCCGUCGCCAGGCUGGAGUGCAGUGGCGUGAUCUGGGCUCACUGCAACCUCCACCUCCCGAGUUCAAGUGAUUCUCCUGCCUCAGCCUCCCAAGUAGCUGGGACUACAGGCACGUGCCACCACACCCAGCUAAUUUUUUUUGUAUUUUUAGUAGAGACAGGGUUUUACCGUGUUGGCCAGGAUGGUCUCGAUCUCUUGACUUUGUGAUCUGCCCUUCUCUGCCUCCCAAAGUGCUGGGAUUACAGGCGUGAGAGUUUGUAUUAAUAAAAUAAGAGGAAC
Molecule: long non-coding RNA, 2278 nt
Filed under: Homo sapiens (human)
Lineage: Eukaryota; Metazoa; Chordata; Mammalia; Primates; Hominidae
Description: HSALNT0151841
Source: RNAcentral